RNAcentral lists this ribosomal RNA (400 nucleotides) under uncultured bacterium. RNAcentral describes it as "bacterial SSU rRNA". It matches the Rfam family "Bacterial small subunit ribosomal RNA", at positions 355 to 772 of the family's 1533-position model. The record is from RNAcentral.
UGGGGAAUAUUGGACAAUGGGCGCAAGCCUGAUCCAGCAAUGCCGCGUGAGUGAUGAAGGCCUUCGGGUUGUAAAGCUCUUUCGCACGCGACGAUGAUGACGGUAGCGUGAGAAGAAGCCCCGGCUAACUUCGUGCCAGCAGCCGCGGUAAUACGAAGGGGGCUAGCGUUGUUCGGAAUUACUGGGCGUAAAGGGCGCGUAGGCGGUGCUUCAAGUCAGGCGUGAAAGCCCCGGGCUCAACCUGGGAACCGCGCUUGAGACUGGAGGACUAGAGUUCGGGAGAGGAUGGUGGAAUUCCCAGUGUAGAGGUGAAAUUCGUAGAUAUUGGGAAGAACACCGAUGGCGAAGGCAGCCAUCUGGACCGACACUGACGCUGAGGCGCGAAAGCGUGGGGAGCAAA